CACCCCACUUGCUUCCAUCUCCGCCGUCUCCCCCGUCUCCCCUCCCAUCCACCCCCACCACUCCUCCGCCAGCCGCGUCCUCCCGGGCUCGGUGAGGAACUGUUCCUGGAGGAGCCGCGGGAUGCCGAAACCAGCCAAUGGGAAGCAGCGAGACGCGGAGAUUGGCACGGUGGAUGGGAAGUGAGUUCCUGGCUUGUCUGUCGGUGCAGCGCCAGAAGCAAGCUGCAGAACAGGAGUUACUGGGGACGGCAGUGACCAUGAAUCCCAAAGGAGAGAUCCGGAAGGACCCUUUCAGAUCACCAUGAGGUUAGGAUGAGAAUGGGGAAGAGGCUGUUUAAGCAGGGUGAAGGCUGGGAGAGAAUGAGUCAAUGACCUGGAACAGGAAGCUGAAUCAACUCUUUCAGCAAGACUUAAAAGAAAAGAUUUUGGUUUUAUAAUCUCUAAAGCCUAAAAGAUACUGAAGCUUCCAGAAUGAGUCAGUACCUAAGACAGUGUUAUUAGAUACAGUAAUUACUGGAAUGAUAAAAUCCUUGUUGAUGCUAGCUGAAAAUAGGUAUGUUCUAUGCCUACUACAUAGCGGCAUUUUCAAUACUGUACCAGAAUGAAGUUAACUAUAAAAAUAUGCACAUUCUGAUUACGUAUAGACAACUUCAAGCUGUCUUUUUUUUAUUGUUGAUGAAGGUUACUGAGGUUUGUACAAAAAUCUUUAUAGGUUCAGUCUGUUAUUUGAUAUGUGAAAUAAAAUGAUAAGACCAUUGAUGGUGAGUUUUCAAACUUCUUCCUAUAACAAGUGAAUAUAGGGCAGCCUGAAUAAUAGGUAUAUUUUGAAUUAUGUACGACCAGUGGUCUGGUAAAUAUUUAACAACCAGCUCAUCCAG
Bos taurus (domestic cattle) is the source of this 878-nucleotide long non-coding RNA. Lineage: Eukaryota; Metazoa; Chordata; Mammalia; Artiodactyla; Bovidae. The record is from Ensembl.